UCGUCAGGUCACAGAGUUUUUACUGCUCAGGUUCAUGUUUAGACUUUUUCUCGUUAUGUUUGCAUGUUCCUGUUCAGUUCCAUGUUCAUGUCCCAUGUCUUAGUUUUUAAAGUUAGUCAUAGUUUUUCCCAGUUUAGGUUUCAGUUUGGUUUCACCCUUGUUUCGAAUGGACUUGUUUUUCUGUUUUUUGUAUCGCUUUUUGUUUACACACCAGUUCAUUUCUCCCAUGUCUGCAUUUUGGGUCUGUUUCAUAAACUCCCCUCCAUGACAGUCCUAAACAACCUAAAGAUCGAAACUCAAAGAGCAAAGCAGGCAAAGCACGGGAGCAGACAAUCAGGACAACCGAAGCAAGACACCAGAGAGAAAGCAGGAGACAACUUCAAACACAAACAACUAAAUGUGGACAUAAGGACACGGGAAGACCAGGAGACACAGAGAAGAUGCAGAAAAAAGAACAGAUGAAGUUCAAAAACCAAACAGAUGUUCAAAGUCCAUAAACAUUUACCUAGAACUCGAAAAGUAACAAGUCAUUUGCAAGAUCCUGGCAAUAUAAUAAAAUCUAAGUAAGAGUGCA
Molecule: long non-coding RNA, 574 nt
Organism: Oreochromis niloticus (Nile tilapia)
Lineage: Eukaryota; Metazoa; Chordata; Actinopteri; Cichliformes; Cichlidae
Exons: 2
Source: RefSeq, a predicted model, not a curated record